This 23-nucleotide non-coding RNA is filed under the name Arabidopsis thaliana (thale cress). Lineage: Eukaryota; Viridiplantae; Streptophyta; Magnoliopsida; Brassicales; Brassicaceae. The record is from RNAcentral.
CCACGAGGCGCUGUCUACGAGUC